UACAGAGGUCCCAAGCGUUGUUCGGAUUCAUUGGGCGUAAAGGGUGCGUAGGCGGCGCGGUAAGUCGGGUGUGAAAUCUCGGAGCUUAACUCCGAAACUGCAUUCGAUACUGCCGUGCUUGAGGACUGGAGAGGAGACUGGAAUUUACGGUGUAGCGGUGAAAUGCGUAGAUAUCGUAAGGAAGACCAGUGGCGAAGGCGGGUCUCUGGACAGUCCUGACGCUGAGGCACGAAGGCUAGGGGAGCAAACGGG
This 252-nucleotide ribosomal RNA is filed under the name uncultured bacterium. Its description in RNAcentral is "partial 16S ribosomal RNA". It matches the Rfam family "Bacterial small subunit ribosomal RNA", at positions 524 to 776 of the family's 1533-position model. The record is from RNAcentral.